This 392-nucleotide ribosomal RNA is filed under the name uncultured bacterium. RNAcentral describes it as "partial 16S ribosomal RNA". It matches the Rfam family "Bacterial small subunit ribosomal RNA", at positions 523 to 917 of the family's 1533-position model. The record is from RNAcentral.
AUACGGAAGGUCCGGGCGUUAUCCGGAUUUAUUGGGUUUAAAGGGAGCGCAGGCGGAGAUGCAAGCGUGACGUCAAAUUUCGGGGCUCAACCCCGUCUCGCGUCGCGAACUGCGUCCCUUGGUUGCGGGAAGGGGAGGCGGAACUCGUGGUGUAGCGGUGAAAUGCAUAGAUAUCACGAAGAACUCCGAUCGCGAAGGCAGCCUUCCGGCCCGUCAACGACGCUCAUGCUCGAAGGUGCGGGUAUCAAACAGGAUUAGAUACCCUGGUAGUCCGCACAGUAAACGAUGGACACCCGCGGUUUGGCCUGUAUGGCUGAGCCGCCAAGCGAAAGCGUUAAGUGUCCCACCUGGGGAGUACGCCGGCAACGGUGAAACUCAAAGGAAUUGGCGGG